CGAUAUUUGUGAUCUUGAUCUUGCAAGCUUGAUUUGAUUAAUGGUUCUUUCUUCUCUAGUAUCGUACUUAUCUUGCUUCUUUCAUGCAAAAAUGGAGUGAAUUUUCUGAAACUUUACUUGUGGUUUGCAAUUUUAUUAAGUAAAUUUUUCUUAAUACACACACACUCUUUAUUAAGUAACUUUUUCUUAACACACACACACUCUAUCUUCUUUCAUGCAAAUAUGGAGUGAAUUUUCAAGAGUAUUAUUUGUGGUUUGCAAUUGUAUUAAGUAACUUUUCUUAACACACACCACAUACACACACACACACACUCACACUCACAUUCACACUCACUCACUCUCACUCUCACUCUCACUCUCUCUCACCCUCACACUCACACUCACACUCACACUCACUCUCACACUCAGACACACACACACACACACACACUCACACGAACACGAACACGAACACGAACACGAACACGAACACACACACUCACACUCACACUCACACUCACACUCACACUCAUACACUCACAAACACGUACUCAUACAGUCACACACGCUCACUCUCACACAUUCACGCUCAUGCUCACAUUCACACUCAGAUAUAUAGUACACAUACACAUGUUGUGUAUGGACUGAUGUGUGUAUAUAUAUUAUGAUAUGUUUAUGCAUUUAUAUAUACAGUUGUUUGCUAUCAGUUAUAUACAAUUAUCAAUGUAUGUAUAUAAUGAUACGUGCACGCACAUGCACCCUUACGCAUUGAUAAGUGCGUAUGUACGGUAUAUGUUUGCACUAAUACAUGCAUACUAUAUAGAUAUAUAUGACCAUAUAGACAUUUAUUAGCACUUUACAUAUAUAUAUAUAUAGUUACGAUAUGUAUAUACUGAUAUGUUUUUGCGUGUAUGUAUAAACUUCCUAUCAGUUAUAUAUACACUGAUAUGCGCCCACACAUGCACCCUUACGUAUUGAUAGGGCAUACGUACAUUCCUAUAUACACUGAUAUGUAUGACCCUAUGAACACUACUUAUCAGUUUAUACAGUUAUUGGUGUAUAUGUACACUGAUAUGUAUAUAUUCACUCAUGUGCAUAUCUGUAUUGGGUUUAUAUAUACACUACUAUAUAAGACCAUAUGUGUACUUAUUAUCAGUGAUGUAUAUAAUUCUUAGCUCAAUUUGUGUACGUAUUGAUGUAUAUCAAUAUAUACCAUUCUUUUCAGAGUAUAUAUAUACUGAUGCAUAUAACCAUAUAAUACAUUAGUUAUAAGCUAUAUAUACAAUUAUUAGUAUGUAAAAAUACAUUGAUAUGUGUGUGUGAUGUCUGUAUUUAUAUGAUGUGUAUAUACGGAUUUGUGUGUAUGUGUAAAGUGCAUAACUAUAUAUAUACACUACAUUAAUAUAUACAUUGAUGUAUAUGACCAUACAUACACUUAUUAUUACUAUAUACCUUUAUUAACGUAUAUGUACACUGAUUUAUAUACUACACACACUCACUGUCACACUCACUCUUACCCUCACCCUCACACUCACACUCAUACUCACACUCACACUCACACUCACACUCACACUCACUCACUCAUACACACACACACUCACACACUUACACUCACACUCACACUCGCACCAGCACUCUCACUCUCACUCGCACUCACACUGACAUUGACACUUACACACACUCACACUCACACUCACACUCACAAAUAUAUACACUAUCACUUGUAAUCAAAUAUGCAAUUGCGAAAUUCCUUAUUACUUUGUAAAAAAUUAGGCAUAAGAAUGGGUUUCUUCUCUUGAUGAAUUGGGUAUGUUGAAUACCCUAUUGUGAUAGUCCAUGUAAAUUUUUUAUCUUAUUUGUACUUGUUUUUUAUUAUUAUUGAUGAGCUUCAUCUUCAAAUUGAGUUUUCUUGUAAAUCAACAAGCACGAAAGCAACUUAUCAUAGAGGCGGAUCUCUUUACGUUAUUCGAUAUUUGAGUUGCUUGAUGGUUCUUUCUUCUCUAUUAUAGUAUUGCUCUUGCUUCUUUCAUGCAAAUAAAGUGUGAAUUUUCUAGAGCUUUACUUGUGGCUUGCAAUUUUAUUAAGUAACUUUUUCUUAACACACACACACUCUUGCUUCUUUCAUGCAAAUAUGGAGUUAAUUUUCUGGCGCUUUACUUGUGUUUUUGCAAUUUUAUUAAGGAAAUUUUUCUUUACACACACACAUGCACCACACACACACACACACUCACACUCACACUCACUCUCACACUCACACUCACACUAAUGUAUAGGAAUGGGUUUAUAUAUACACUAAUGUAUAAGGUCAUGUAUAUACUUAUUAUCAGUGAUAUAUACAGUUAUCAGCUCUAUAUGUUUAUGUAUUGAUGUAUAUAAGCAUAGAAUACAUUAGUUAUCGGUUAUAUAUACAAUUACUAGUGUGAAAAAUACAUUGAUGUGUGUGUGAUGUUUGUGUAUGUGUAAAGUACGUAACUGUAUAUAUACAAUGUAUUAAUAUUUACUUUUAUGAAAAUACUGUUAAUGGCACAAAUUAAAGCUCAAAGCAUAAUUUUUUACUGAUAUAUAAGAAGCAGAGAGUGUGACUACAGGACCAAGUAAUCAAUAUUUUAUUGUUGAUUGUGUAAACUGUAAACUUACAGGAGCAAGCAAUUGUACAUAUAGGAUUAGUUCCCCAAACUUAAUCCUUCAGCUCUGUUUCCUCAAGAAAAUGAAAAGCCCUCUUCAAACUAUCCCAAAUCAGAAAGAAAAACCCUUUUCAAACUAUCCGAAAUCAGCUUUUCAUCUUCCUAAAUCAGCAUCCCAUCUUCCUUUUCUCUCUCUAAAAAUCAGUUAAGGCCUCUUCCAUUAGGGUUCUUUCUUUUCUCUCUAAAAAUCACUUAGGGCGGCCCCUUCCAUUAGGGUUUGUGAAAACUAUUUUAUUCUUCUUUCUUCUUGCUAUAAACCCUAAUGGUUAUGAGCCGAGCCAUAUUUACUUCUCUUCCUUUCCUUCGUCGUUUUUCUUCUUCUCUUUACACAGUAAACAUAGAUGUAAAUCCCAAAUUUAUAUGAACUUCUUCCAACUAAAUAAAUUUAUAAAACUUUAACCAUAGUUAUGGACUGACCAUAGACACCAUACCAUAAUUAAAUAAAUGUCGUGACAAAACAAAAAUCGUGUGUUUAUUUUUUGGUACCUGC
Molecule: long non-coding RNA, 3153 nt
Filed under: Amborella trichopoda
Lineage: Eukaryota; Viridiplantae; Streptophyta; Magnoliopsida; Amborellales; Amborellaceae
Description: long non-coding RNA (ATRI_LNC000993)
Source: RNAcentral